AGGCAGCAGUGAGGAAUAUUGGUCAAUGGGCGCGAGCCUGAACCAGCCAAGUCGCGUGAGGGAAGACGGUCCUAUGGAUUGUAAACCUCUUUUGUCGGGGAGCAAAGAAGUCACGUGUGACUAAAAGUGAGAGUACCCGAAGAAAAAGCAUCGGCUAACUCCGUGCC
RNAcentral lists this ribosomal RNA (167 nucleotides) under uncultured bacterium. RNAcentral describes it as "partial 16S ribosomal RNA". It matches the Rfam family "Bacterial small subunit ribosomal RNA", at positions 346 to 509 of the family's 1533-position model. The record is from RNAcentral.